Molecule: unclassified non-coding RNA, 281 nt
Filed under: Boubovia vermiphila
Lineage: Eukaryota; Fungi; Ascomycota; Pezizomycetes; Pezizales; Pyronemataceae
Description: partial contains 5.8S ribosomal RNA, internal transcribed spacer 2, and large subunit ribosomal RNA
Source: RNAcentral
CGCACAUUGCGCCUUAUGGUAGUCCGUAAGGCAUGCCUGUUCGAACGUCAUCAAACCCCUCGAGUCCUCUGGCUUUUGCGAGCCACGGGAAUCUCGGUCUUGCUCAAGGAGUGGCCUCGCGUCCCUUCUGAGCGAAUUCCAUUGUGCUGAUCCACAGGUCGCCAAAGCGUAGUAAGCCUAAAAAGCUCUCGCCUGGCAUGAGACUUGGCUGGCAUCACGCCAUGAACCCCAUAUCUAUAGAGUUUGACUUCGGAUCAGGUAGGGAUACCCGCUGAACUUAA